This 364-nucleotide ribosomal RNA is filed under the name uncultured bacterium. RNAcentral describes it as "bacterial SSU rRNA". It matches the Rfam family "Bacterial small subunit ribosomal RNA", at positions 149 to 507 of the family's 1533-position model. The record is from RNAcentral.
UUGCGAAAGUAAGACUAAUACCCAAUGAUAUCCCACGAAGGCAUCCGAAUGGGAUUAAAGAUUUAUCGGUGAUGGAUUGGGGGAUGCGUCUGAUUAGCUUGUUGGCGGGGGUAACGGCCCACCAAGGGCUACGAUCAGUAGGGGUUCUGAGAGGAAGGUCCCCACAUUGGAACUGAGACACGGUCCAAACUCCUACGGGAGGCAGCAGUGAGGAAUAUUGGUCAAUGGGCGAGAGCCUGAACCAGCCAAGGUAGCGUGCAGGAUGACGGCCCUAUGGGUUGUAAACUGCUUUUAUAAGGGAAUAAAGUGGGUCUCGUGAGACUUUUUGCAUGUACCUUAUGAAUAAGGACCGGCUAAUUCCGUG